This 877-nucleotide ribosomal RNA is filed under the name uncultured archaeon. RNAcentral describes it as "bacterial SSU rRNA". It matches the Rfam family "Archaeal small subunit ribosomal RNA", at positions 23 to 903 of the family's 1478-position model. The record is from RNAcentral.
GCCACUGCUAUUGGAAUGCGACUAAGCCAUGCGAGUCAGGGGGCUCUUUGGAGCACCGGCGUACGGCUCAGUAACAUGUGGGUAACCUACCCUCAGGUGGGAGAUAACCUCGGGAAACUGAGGCUAAUAUCCCAUAGAUAAAAGAUACUGGAAUGUUUUUUUAUCGAAAACUCUUGUGCCUGAGGAUGGGCCUGCGCCCGAUUAGGUUGUUGGUGAGGUAAUGGCUCACCAAGCCUACGAUCGGUACGGGUCGUGAGAGCGAUAGCCCGGAGAUGGGGACUGAGACAAGGCCCCAGGCCCUACGGGGCGCAGCAGGCGCGAAAUCUCUCCAAUGUGUGAAACCAUGAGAGGGGUAUUCCAAGUGCCCUUGCUUUGCAAGGGAUUUUCUUUGGUCCAAGACGCCGAAGGAAUAAGAGCUGGGUAAGACCGGUGCCAGCCGCCGCGGUAACACCGGCAGCUCGAGUGGUGGCCACUAUUAUUGGGCCUAAAGCGUUCGUAGCCGGGCAGGUAAGUGCUCUGGUAAAUCCCAUAACUUAAUUAUGGGGCUUCAGAACAUACUGCUUGCCUUGAGACCGGGAGAGGCUGGAGGUACUUUCGGGGUAGGGGUAAAAUCCUAUAAUCCCGAAGGGACUACCGGUGGCGAAGGCGUCCAGCCAGAACGGGUCUGACGGUGAGGGACGAAACCCAGGGGAGCGAGUCGGAUUAGAUAUCCGGGUAGUCCUGGGCGUAAAUGAUGUGGGCUAGGUGCAAAGCUACCUAAGCGGUAGCUUGGUGCCGAUGGGAAGCCGUUAAGCCCACCGCCUGGGGAGUACGGUCGCAAGGCUGAAACUUAAAGGAAUUGGCGGGUGAGCACCACAAGGGGUGGAGGCUGCGGUUU